AGAAAAUCACGAGCACGCCAUAUUGGCCUAAAAUUAUUGGCUAUACCAAAGGCAUAUCGAGAGUCUGUGUAAAUAUUAGCUGUCUUACCAGAGGCCAGUUUGCACGCUCAAUGAGUGCUUUCAGCUCAGCCUCAUGUGCAGAGCAGUGAGGGGCAAUUGGUUCAGCUUUAAUUACCUCAUGUGCAGAGACUACAGCAUAUCCAGUGUGGAAAUUAACCUUCUCAUCAGCAUAUCUGGAACGUCUACAGAAAACUCAAAGUCUGAAUUAGAUCAUGGAGAAUAAAUUACAUGCAAAAACACAGCUGUCUCUUGUGCCAUUAAUUCUGCACAGUCAUUAAUGCUAACUCAUCUGGUGACAGAGAUUUUCACAAAAAGAUCAGAACCACUACUAAUACUUCUCUCCUCUCCUUUGAAAUCCAGGGGAAGCAAUGUAAAUGGAUUUAACACCAUACAUCUUUUCAGGGUGACAUUGAAAGGCAUUAAGGAGGGCACACUGCAUCCUAAAAUGCCUAGCAGUAUGUAUGGGUUUGGGCUGAACGUGUGCCAAAAUGCUGUUGAUGUCAUGUGGAC
Non-coding RNA from Pelobates cultripes (western spadefoot toad), 570 nucleotides. The record is from the annotation of a GenBank genome assembly. NCBI's taxonomy places the organism in Eukaryota, Metazoa, Chordata, Amphibia, Anura, Pelobatidae.